Molecule: ribosomal RNA, 279 nt
Filed under: uncultured bacterium
Lineage: Bacteria
Description: partial 16S ribosomal RNA
Rfam family: Bacterial small subunit ribosomal RNA
Source: RNAcentral
UGCCAGCCGCCGCGGUAAUACGGAGGGUGCAAGCGUUAAUCGGAAUUACUGGGCGUAAAGGGUGCGUAGGUGGUUUGGUAAGUUAGGUGCGAAAUCCCCGGGCUCAACCCGGGAAUUGCGCUUGAUACUACCAGGCUAGAGUACUAGAGAGGGAAGUGGAAUUUCCGGUGUAGCGGUGAAAUGCGUAGAUAUCGGAAGGAACACCAGUGGCGAAGGCGACCACCUGGACGGUGACUGACGCUCAGACCCGAAAGCGUGGGGAGCAAACAGGAUUAGAUA